GAGUUUGAUCUUGGCUCAGGACGAACGCUGGCGGCGUGCUUAACACAUGCAAGUCGAACGAGAAUCUACUGAAAGAGUUUUCGGACAAUGGAAGUAGAGGAAAGUGGCGGACGGGUGAGUAACGCGUGAGGAACCUGCCUUGAAGAGGGGACAACAGUUGGAAACGACUGCUAAUACCGCAUGAUGCAUAAGGGUCGCAUGAUUCUUAUGCCAAAGAUUUAUCGCUUCAAGAUGGCCUCGCGUCUGAUUAGCUAGUUGGCGGGGUAACGGCCCACCAAGGCGACGAUCAGUAGCCGGACUGAGAGGUUGAACGGCCACAUUGGGACUGAGAUACGGCCCAGACUCCUACGGGAGGCAGCAGUGGGGAAUAUUGGGCAAUGGGCGCAAGCCUGACCCAGCAACGCCGCGUGAAGGAGAAGGCUUUCGGUAUGUAAACUUCUAUCAGCAGGGAAGAAAAUGACGGUACCUGACUAAGAAGCCCGGCUAACUACGUGCCAGCCGCCGCAGU
RNAcentral lists this ribosomal RNA (508 nucleotides) under uncultured microorganism. RNAcentral describes it as "bacterial SSU rRNA". It matches the Rfam family "Bacterial small subunit ribosomal RNA", at positions 9 to 521 of the family's 1533-position model. The record is from RNAcentral.